This 73-nucleotide transfer RNA is filed under the name Marmota monax (woodchuck). RNAcentral's name for it is "tRNA.Ala". It matches the Rfam family "tRNA". Rfam says of the family: Transfer RNA (tRNA) molecules are approximately 80 nucleotides in length. Their secondary structure includes four short double-helical elements and three loops (D, anti-codon, and T loops). The record is from RNAcentral. Lineage: Eukaryota; Metazoa; Chordata; Mammalia; Rodentia; Sciuridae.
GGUUAUGGCUCAGUGGUAGAGUGCUUGCCUAGCACACAUGAGGCACUGGGUUCGAUUCUCAGCACCACAAUCA